CCUACGGGCGGCAGCAGUGAGGAAUAUUGGUCAAUGGGCGUAAGCCUGAACCAGCCAAGUCGCGUGAGGGAUGAAGGUUCUAUGGAUCGUAAACCUCUUUUAUAAGGGAAUAAAGUUUGGGACGUGUCCUGUUUUGUAUGUACCUUAUGAAUAAGGAUCGGCUAACUCCGUGCCAGCAGCCGCGGUAAUACGGAGGAUCCGAGCGUUAUCCGGAUUUAUUGGGUUUAAAGGGUGUGUAGGCGGCCUUUUAAGUCAGCGGUGAAAUUUUGUGGCUCAACCAUAGAAGUGCGGUGGAAACUGGGGAGCUUGAGUGUGUGUGAGGCAGGCGGAAUGCGUGGGGUAGCGGUGAAAUGCUUAGAUAUCACGCAGAACCCCGAUUGCGAAGGCAGCCUGCCAAGCCAUGACUGACGCUGAUGCACGAAAGCGUGGGGAUCAAACAGGAUUAGAUACCCUUGUAGUC
This 460-nucleotide ribosomal RNA is filed under the name uncultured bacterium. RNAcentral describes it as "partial 16S ribosomal RNA". It matches the Rfam family "Bacterial small subunit ribosomal RNA", at positions 338 to 795 of the family's 1533-position model. The record is from RNAcentral.